This 377-nucleotide ribosomal RNA is filed under the name uncultured eukaryote. RNAcentral describes it as "partial 18S ribosomal RNA". It matches the Rfam family "Eukaryotic small subunit ribosomal RNA", at positions 592 to 976 of the family's 1831-position model. The record is from RNAcentral.
CAAUAGCGUAUAUUAAAGUUGUUGCAGUUAAAAAGCUCGUAGUUGGAUUUCGGGGCAGCCUGGCUGGUCCGCUGCAAGGCGAGUACUGGUCAGCCGCCCUUCCUCUCGAAAGCCCCGACUGCUCUUCGUUGCAGUGGUCGGGUAGUUCGGGACGUUUACUUUGAAAAAAUUAGAGUGUUCAAGGCAGGCCUACGCCUGAAUACAUUAGCAUGGAAUAAUGGAAGAGGACCUCGGUCCUAUUUUGUUGGUUUCCAGGGCCGAAGUAAUGAUUAAGAGGGACAGUUGGGGGCAUUCGUAUUUAAUUGUCAGAGGUGAAAUUCUCGGAUUUAUGAAAGACGAACAACUGCGAAAGCAUUUGCCAAGGAUGUUUUCAUUAA